This 547-nucleotide ribosomal RNA is filed under the name uncultured bacterium. Its description in RNAcentral is "partial 16S ribosomal RNA". It matches the Rfam family "Bacterial small subunit ribosomal RNA", at positions 355 to 895 of the family's 1533-position model. The record is from RNAcentral.
UGGGGAAUUUUGGACAAUGGGCGAAAGCCUGAUCCAGCAAUGCCGCGUGUGUGAAGAAGGCCUUCGGGUUGUAAAGCACUUUUGUCCGGAAAGAAAUCCUUGGCUCUAAUACAGUCGGGGGAUGACGGUACCGGAAGAAUAAGCACCGGCUAACUACGUGCCAGCAGCCGCGGUAAUACGUAGGGUGCAAGCGUUAAUCGGAAUUACUGGGCGUAAAGCGUGCGCAGGCGGUUCGCUAAGACCGAUGUGAAAUUCCCGGGCUCAACCUGGGAACUGCAUUGGGUGACUGGCAGGCUAGAGUAUGGCAGAGGGGGGUAGAAUUCCACGUGUAGCAGUGAAAUGCGUAGAGAUGUGGAGGAAUACCGAUGGCGAAGGCAGCCCCCUGGGCCAAUACUGACGCUCAUGCACGAAAGCGUGGGGAGCAAACAGGAUUAGAUACCCUGGUAGUCCACGCCCUAAACGAUGUCAACUAGUUGUUGGGGAUUCAUUUCCUAGUAACGUAGCUAACGCGUGAAGUUGACCGCCUGGGGAGUACGGUCGCAAGAUU